AUGAGUUUCCUAUGCUGGAACUGUCGCGGGGCUGGCAAACCCGCGACAGUUCGAGAACUUCGUGACCUCACGAGGCAACUUGCCCCCUCAAUAUUGUGCAUUGUUGAAACCCAAAUUGUGGGCUCUCGAGUAGAGAAUAUGGUGGAGUCAUUAGGCUUUAAUAAAAGUUUUGUUGUUAGUAGCCGUGGUAGAAGUGGUGGACUGGGAAUUAUUUGGAAUGAUGAAAUAAAGCUUGAGGUUAUUAGUUACUCUGAUUAUCAUAUUGAUGUGACGGUUGAUGAACUUGUAGACACAAAGAUCAGAGCAACUUCUGUUUGCGGUGAAGCACAAGUUAACCUACGUUAUAAAACCUGGGAUACACUUAGGGGGAUAGCUGGCUCUAGCAGUCUCCCCUGGGUCGUAAUCUGUGACUUCAAUGAGGUACUACAUGCUCACGAACAUGAUGGUGUGGGUAGUCGAAGCCAAUCUCAAAUGGAUGCUUUCUGCAAUGCGCUGGAUACAUGCGGCCUGGCAGAUAUUGGUUACAUUGGUAGGAGUUGGACCUUUGAGAAGAAAGUAGCGUUCACUAAGGUAUGA
Molecule: ribosomal RNA, 576 nt
Filed under: Triticum aestivum (bread wheat)
Lineage: Eukaryota; Viridiplantae; Streptophyta; Magnoliopsida; Poales; Poaceae
Description: partial small subunit ribosomal RNA
Source: RNAcentral